Molecule: long non-coding RNA, 616 nt
Filed under: Elaeis guineensis (African oil palm)
Lineage: Eukaryota; Viridiplantae; Streptophyta; Magnoliopsida; Arecales; Arecaceae
Description: long non-coding RNA (EGUI_LNC060897)
Source: RNAcentral
UGUGGGAUCUUCUGAUCAAUCUUUUCAAAUAUAUCGAUCAAAAUAGUGGUCGGCCGAAGCAUGGAUCGAUGGUCGAUGCGAGUAUCAACGGCCGAUGCAUGGGUCGACGAUCAAUCCUUGAUCGACCUGACCAAGGUUUGCCAGCAUUUUCAAUUCGAGCAUCGGAGAUUUUUUAUCCAUAUUCCAUAACAAGAAUAAUUAAGAGGCACAAAGAAAGUUCUUGCACAGGAGGUAAGAGUACGUUCAGGAGGGAGAGAAGGGAAGGAGGGUAGAAAAUGGAAUGCAGUCGUAAACAAAUUGAAGGCAUCCGGUAGGAGAGGAUAAAGAAAAGAAGAGGUGUUCUACUAAUGCUCACUUAAUGCACUGCCUCUUCACUACUCUCACUUCAUCUCCCCUACAUCUUCCUCUCUGCCAAGUGCUUCAGUAAAUUCAAUUUGCCAAAAUUUUAGAUCUUAUCCAAACCGAAAUCUUUUAAUGCUGUAAUAAAAAAGAUACCUGCAUUUGGCUCAAAUCUGACUUCUAUUUGGUCACUAUCAGCUUUCCUCCAGUAAUUAAAGAGAGAAUCCUGAUGAAGGGUGAAAAAAAUUGAAGAUAGGCAGCAACCUCGGGAUGAGGG